This 403-nucleotide ribosomal RNA is filed under the name uncultured bacterium. Its description in RNAcentral is "partial 16S ribosomal RNA". It matches the Rfam family "Bacterial small subunit ribosomal RNA", at positions 30 to 526 of the family's 1533-position model. The record is from RNAcentral.
AUUGAACGCUGGCGGCAGGCCUAACACAUGCAAGUCGAGCGAGCGGCGGACGGGGGAGUAAUGUAUGGGGACUGCCCGAUAGAGGGGGAUAACUACUGGAAACAGUAGCUAAUACCGCAUACUAUCGGAUAACCCAUAUGGGAUGAGCUAGUAGGUGAGGUAAUGGCUCACCUAGGCGACGAUCCCUAUCUGGGCUGAGAGGAUGAUCAGCCACACUGGGACUGAGAAACGGCCCAGACUACUACGGAGGCAGCAGUGGGGAAGAUUGCACAAUGGGCGCAAGCAUGAUGCAGCCAUGCAGCGUGUAUGAAGAAGGCCCUAGGGUUGUAAAGUACUUGCAGUCGGGAGGCGUUACCGACAGAAGAAGCACCGGCUAACUCCGUGCCAGCAGCCGCGGUAAUAC